AUGAUUGGAAGCUCAAAGAGCACCCUGACAAGAAAUUUGAAGUUCUUUAUGGUGAUGUUGUGAAAGAGCAGCAAGCUACCUGGGAAUGCAUGGGGAAACAGAUCAAUGGUAUUUUGUCAGGAGGACGAAACAAGCCUGCUAUGAAGAAUCCUUUAAAUCCAAAUGCCAACACCGGAGGAAGAAACAAGCCUCCUAUGAAGAAUUUAAAUUCAAAUGCCAACAUUCCUGCACUUCCAGGUGGCGGUAAAUCCGCUCCUGGAUCACUUUCGCGAACAUCUAUGUCAGAAAAGACUCGAGAAGCUUUAC
RNAcentral lists this long non-coding RNA (306 nucleotides) under Nicotiana benthamiana. RNAcentral describes it as "long non-coding RNA (NBEN_LNC007797)". The record is from RNAcentral. Lineage: Eukaryota; Viridiplantae; Streptophyta; Magnoliopsida; Solanales; Solanaceae.